Molecule: ribosomal RNA, 465 nt
Filed under: Vreelandella stevensii
Lineage: Bacteria; Pseudomonadati; Pseudomonadota; Gammaproteobacteria; Oceanospirillales; Halomonadaceae
Description: partial 16S ribosomal RNA
Rfam family: Bacterial small subunit ribosomal RNA
Source: RNAcentral
CCUACGGGCGGCAGCAGUGGGGAAUAUUGGACAAUGGGCGAAAGCCUGAUCCAGCCAUGCCGCGUGUGUGAAGAAGGCCUUCGGGUUGUAAAGCACUUUCAGUGGGGAAGAAAGCCUUGGGGCUAAUACCCUCGAGGAAGGACAUCACCCACAGAAGAAGCACCGGCUAACUCCGUGCCAGCAGCCGCGGUAAUACGGAGGGUGCGAGCGUUAAUCGGAAUUACUGGGCGUAAAGCGCGCGUAGGCGGUCUGAUAAGCCGGUUGUGAAAGCCCCGGGCUCAACCUGGGAACGGCAUCCGGAACUGUCAGGCUAGAGUGCAGGAGAGGAAGGUAGAAUUCCCGGUGUAGCGGUGAAAUGCGUAGAGAUCGGGAGGAAUACCAGGGGCGAAGGCGGCCUUCUGGACUGACACUGACGCUGAGGUGCGAAAGCGUGGGUAGCAAACAGGAUUAGAUACCCUAGUAGUC